GAAAGAAAGAGAGCGGCAGCAGUUUUGUUGUUUAGAAGAGAACAGCAGCAAUUUUGAGGUUCAGGUAAGAAGAUCAGUAGCGAGGCAGAGAAGAGGAGCAGCAAAAGUGAUGUGGGGAAGAAGAACCAGCAGUAGGCAGGAGAAGAAGGAGCAGCUGGAGCGCACAAGCAGCAGCAAUUUUGAGCAGAGAAGGGUACCGACAGGGAGGCGCAAGGAGGUGGAGAGGAUGAACAAUAGCAGGGGGGUUGCAAGGAAGGAGCAGCAGCGGUGCUUGGAGAAGAGCAACAGGAGGUCGAGAGGAAGAAGGAAGAUGCAGCAGCAACAGCAGGUUCAGAGAGGAAGCGGCAGGAGGGGCGCGCGAGGUGGGCGCUGGUGGAGGCGUGUGGAUGAUGGAUGGUGGUGCUGGUGGUGGCGCGGUGGCGAAGUGGAGCUGGUGGCGCUGGUGGAGUGGUGGAUGGAUGGCGCGGCGCGGCUGGGAUGGAUGGAUGGUGCGGUGGAUGGUGCUCGUGGCUGAGUGGAGGAGCAGCAGGCGCACCGCCACGCCGGCCUGGCCGCGGCGGCGGCCGGUGGUGGAGAAGGAGGGGUGAGGGAGAGAGAUGAGAUGCCAGGCCUGAUGGGGAUUGGCUGUGCUAGGGAUUUUUGAUCCCCUCCUCUGUUCUGUCUUUUUUUACUUUGGCCCUCCUCCUUUCUUCUUUCUUCCCAAGAAGAUCCUCCUCUUCUUUUAGUUUGCUCCCCUACAUUACUUCUUUCCUUCACGCUCAAGCCUUGACGUAUUUCUUUCAUGUCCUUCUCUCUUCUCGUUAGCCACAUAGUAGAAGUCUUGACGAUUAUAGUGCCUUUGCGCACUUUUCUGCAAAAUAAACAAUUCACUAGUCAACAUUCUCUUUUAUGAUUAUCAUUCGAAUAUUCAACAAGUCAUAGCAAGAAUGGAUGGAUAUAUCUCAAUAAAAGGUGAAUUUGUGUGCCCAAAUAGUAUAUAAGAAAUGUGCUUAUCAAGUUCCCCCACACUUAAAUCUUUGCUUGUCCUCAAGCAAAGGAAAAAAAAUUGAUGGUGACACAACUCACACUGCCUAGUAAAUAUGCUCUUUCUGAUAGAUAGUAAUUCCGACAAUACUGGAACUAAGCAAAUGUACUCUACUGAAGCUAAAUUGUGAUAAGAAAUAUUUAUAACACACUGUAAAUGUUCCAAGUCAAUGGCCUUGAGUCAAAGUGAAUACUAAUAAUCAAGAGCUGGCUCUGUCUUCAGCCCUGAGAUAAGCUGGGACCCCAAAAUCAAUUAGAAAAACAAGUAACUUAUUGAAUUUAAAGAACAAGUGAUGAUAUUAUAUCAGUCUCACCAAAGGAACAUACCACCGAUCCCGAGAACAUGGUAUACACCUGGCUCGACCAAAUUAUUAGUAUAUUUUUUUGUUAUCUCCCCAAAGGAACAUACCACCGAUCCUGAGAACAUGGUAUACACCUGGUUCGACAAAUUAUUAGUAUAUAUUUUUUGUUAUUAUCUCCCCAAAGGAACAUACCACCAAUCCCGAGAACAUGGUAUACACCUGGUUCGACAAAUAAUAGCAUUUUUAUAUAAAAAAAUUUUACAGUCCAAUCUACCAGAUUUCACAAGCCACCGAUCCAGGGAACAUGACAUGCUACUAUAGGUCGAUCGGACUUAAAUUAUUAUAAUUAUUUUAUUUAGUUAUUUGAAAAUUACUUAGCUUAAGUAAAACAGGAAUAAUCGAAAGAGGAAUCCAUAGCUAAUGGCACUGUUUUUCACAUACUACAGAUCCAGAGAUCAUAGCUACUACUUAAGUGCCACCAGUUACUUAGCUUAACUUGGGACAGUCAGACACAGCACAUCAAUUCAUUAGUAGGUUUCACUUAGACUCAAGGCAUUCCCAUUGAACAUUUACAUGGAGGUAUAAAGUAUUCAUUAUCACAAAUUACCAUAAGAAGAAUACAACUGCAUAGUUUUAGUAUUAAGAGAAUCAACAAUCUUCUUGGAGUGAAUCCUACUUUGCAGUGAAGAGUAAGGUGUCACAAUGCAAAAAGAGUUUCAAUGCAAUAAAAUGCCAGUUCUUGUACUAAAUUUUCUAAAGGUUGCUUCAAGUGGAACAGAAUCACCUGGUAUUUGUAUACUCUUCUCUCCUACUUUCUUCUCUCCACUCUUCUCUGUUUGUGUUCCCUGUUUGUGCUCCCCUCAUCGCCAUGCUCUGACUCCACCAGGAUCCCAAGGAAUGUCACCUCGAACCUGGUCAGCAUGUAGUAAAUAGUGCAGUAGCAAAAGCCUGAAAUAGGACUCACAUAAACAACUACAAGUGAUAUGGUCGAUGCCCUCCAAGUCAUCAAUGGAAUAUCCAAUUAUAUAAGCAUAACUAUAAAGCACAUGUUUAGGAUGGCAGAAAUCAGCAUGGUCAAUACUCGCACGAGGAUGACAUUUAUCAUUAAGCUCAAGACUAGCAUGAGGAAAGUAAUUGUGAUCAUCACAAAUGAGAGCAAUGCCACUAACAGGGUAUAUAUCAUCAUAUCCAAGUAAAUGAGUUUUGAAAUCAAUCUUAAGUGAUGGAUCAUGUAAUGCAAGGUGGUAGCCAAGAAAUCACAAGGCAUCAUGUCAUCAAGAGGAUUGAGUAAACCUGACACAUCACGCUCUGGUAUGACAAUAGGCAAAUGAAUCUCAUGUUCUUCAUCUUCAUCUACAGCAGCUUCUUGUACUUCUUCAGGAGUAAUAGAUGAUGAGUCUUCAACUUGAUCACUUGGGAAUUGCAGCUCUUGACCAUCUUGUUCCUUGUCUUCUAGUUCAUCUUCUUCAAUCUGAGGUAUCUCUUGCUCAAGGCACUUGCUAACUUGCUCAACGAAAUGUGAAGGUGUUGGAACCUCACAUGUAUCCAUGGAUAUCUCAGCCACACUUAACUCAAGUUGUGAAGAAAUAGUGCUGCCAGUGUUGAUGUUCUUCUCAAUCUUCCUUACUUCUUCCACUAGCUCUUUUCCACUCUUGAUCUUCUUCAUUUCAUCUAGUAUAACCUUCCUAAUAGGAUCAUCCUCGGCACUCCAAGUGAACUUGAGACUCAAAAGUGUGAGCUUGUCUAUGUCAUUGAACUCAUCUUGUGUGGGCACUUGCACAUGAGAUUGCACAACAGGUGCUUGAGUUGUUGGUUGACCAAAUGGAGGACCAUUUAACUCCAUUGUACACAUCUCCUGGUGUUGUGGUAUAUGAGUAGGAGCUGAAUGGAAUUGUUGUGGUGCAUAGUUGUGGCUCUCCUCAUUGUACCUAAAUCCCUGCAUAUGAUUACUAGAACCAAACUGUGAGAUCUCAGGGUUGUUGCUCCUAUAUGACAUAUUCAGGCUUUCAGGCCACCCAUGUGAGUAAUUGUUUUGGUAUGAGCUAUGCUGUUGAGCAAAGCUCAUGCCAAAACAAUUCGGAGGAUGGGAGUAACCACGCUGACAUUCAGCGGGCGAAUGGCCCUGAAAUCCACAAAUAUGGCAAGUAGGAGCAACAUAAGGAUGGCCUCUGGAAUAAGGAUCGUAAGAACUAGGCCUAUCCUCAAAAACUCCUUCUCGCUGCCGAGCUAAAUCAUCUAAUCGAUGGGAAAUCUUACCUAUCAGUUCUUGAACACUUUCUGUGCUGUUUGUAGUGUUGCUCGCAUAAGCCUGAUGAUCUGAAUAGUAAGCCAUAACCGAGAGGAUAAUCCAACCUGCAAAAAGGAAAAGAAGACAAAAAGAUACUAACUAGAACAGGGGUUAGUGGCUAGAGAUAUAUCACAAAUAUAUAAAGCACAAAAAGGAAACAUGCUAAACCUAGUCUAAAGCCUAGCACAAUCGCUCGACACUAGUCCCCGGCAACGGCGCCAAAAAAUGAUCAAUUGUAAUAUAGCAGGGUUUUUAUGCCCAAACUACAGAUGUCGUGUUCUCCACAGGGACUAGGCGACGGCAACAACGAUCAGCUAAAUCUAGGUAACACAAUAUUGGGUGAUGAAAGCAGAAUAUUAAAUCUAGACUAACUAAGAUCAUUCGGGAAAAAUCAUCGACAAAAGAAAAUGAAAAGAAGCAAAGGAAGGUUCAGAUUAUACUCUCUGUCUUUAUAGUAGUUUCGUUAUGCUUGAGAAAUUAAAAUACUAACACAGGCAAGCAUAAAGGAUAAGGGACAGAAAGAUUAUGGUACAUGGUUCACAAGCAGACAUUUAAGAUGAUGUAGAGCAGCAUUGAGUUCUAUAGCAAUGGAACUCAUUUGUACAGGAGAUUCACAAAUAUGGAACACCACAGUUACUAGAAUUGACCGAAUUUAUAUAUAUAUAUAUAUGACUCAAAAUGCAUGACAAUACAAGUCUAAUCGAAAAUGAUCAGCUCAACAACUCACAACUUCACAUAUAUUGCAGAAACUAAUACAUAACAAAACACAAAUUGGGUGUUCAGAACAAUACACAAGUUUCACCUUUUCAGAACAGAACAGUACACUAACUGACUUACAGACACAUAGAGAGCUAAUACUGAUUUGAAUGUAAUUGGUCUAGCAUCCAGUAAUAACUAUCAGCAAAUACACACACACACACACAUAGAAAGAGUGAGAGAAAGAGAAAGAAAGAGAGUGGCAACAGUUUUGUUGUUUAGAAGAGAACAGCAGCAGUUUUGAGGUUCAGGUAAGAAGAUCAGUAGCGAGGCAGAGAAGAGGAGCAGCAAAAGUGAUGUGGGGAAGAAGAACUAGCAGUAGGCAGGAGAAGAAGGAGCAGCUGGAGCGCACAAGCAGCAGCAGUUUUGAGCAGAGAAGGGUACCGGCAGGGAGGCGCAAGGAGGUGGAGAGGAUGAACAACAGCAGGUGGGUUGCAAGGAAGGAGCAGCAGCAGUGCUUGGAGAAGAGCAACAGGAGGUCGAGAGGAAGAAGGAAGAUGCAGCAGCAACAACAGGUUCAGAGAGGAAGCGGCAGGAGGGGCGCGCGAGGUGGGCGCUGGUGGAG
This 4933-nucleotide long non-coding RNA is filed under the name Triticum aestivum (bread wheat). RNAcentral's name for it is "long non-coding RNA (TAES_LNC005197)". The record is from RNAcentral. Lineage: Eukaryota; Viridiplantae; Streptophyta; Magnoliopsida; Poales; Poaceae.